GCUUCCAAUGUUUUGAGCUGAAAAACAGUUCAGAUUAUAUGCUUCCAGCCGUGAAACUGCUUAUCGCAUUAGUCUUUUUCAUUGUAUUUUAGCGCUUCCGGUGAUUCCUUCUCUGUCAUCAUUGUGCUUUUCAGGUUUGAUUCCUUUUGUGACACAUUAAGUGGCCUCACAGGUUGGUUGCACGUUUCCCUCUAUUAUGUAAGUAGUAACCCAUAGUGCCGCUUUUUUCCUUGGUGCUAAUAGAAACAAAUUCUCAAACAUAGUACACAAGAAAUAUUCAAUGGCAGGAACACCAGUACGAUAUUAUGCAUAUAUAAUCAUGAACAUACUACAAUAUUUGUUUCCUCAGGUUUUGUGCCCAGUUCAAUCACCGCUCCUCAUAGUAGGGUUAACCGAAGAGUCUCUUAGGUUCUGGGCCUCUGGACUGUACAAAAACACCAUGAGAAAACAAAACACCAUGAGAAAACUCUGUUAGAGCCAGCACACCUGUAGACUGUGAACCCAAGUAGCAGAACAUGACAAUUUUUUGUGAAAUCGGUCACUCCAUCUAACCACACUGAUUAAUGUGUUUAUCCAAGAAUAGUAUUCAGUAGAAUAGCAGACAAGAAUGGUAAAUCUCGACAGAGAGGAGAGAAAUUGUGCAGUAAGGCAGCAAAGCGAAGCUGGGACUGAACCUGGAGACCAUAUCGGAUGACGCCGAUCUGCUCAACACCCUUGAACGGCUCCGGGAGCAGCGGGAACAGGUUUCGCCCUCGUGCCACCAGGUUUUGCCGUCCUGUUGCUGGUUGGCGAGCCGAUACUUCCCGUCGGCCUUGUUGGUAUCGGAAACGCUGGAGAAGAGCUACGCCGCAGGCAUGAAGUCCUUCCCGGUGACCAGGUAUCUGUCGGGGACUCGAACGUCCACCAUACGACCGUGUCGUCAGCGUGGAACAACACAAAGUUGUCGUCAUCUCGCAGGGCGCCCGCAACUCAGGCAGAUCUGAUUGGGCGACCAGGUGAAAGGAGGGGCGGCCACCCACUCGAGGGUGCGGUGCAGGGUGGCAAGGGAGCCGGCAGGGAGGCGUCAACGCGGUGCAUGGCCGUGAGGGAACCGUCUAGGGAGGCGAUGAUGCGAUGCAGGGAUCGAGGCCGCCGUGCAGGGAGGCGACGGGGCUGCUGAGCUUCGUCUGGGGCGGUGGCGAGGAAAGGCAGGGAGAGGGGCGAGGGAGACGAUUAGGUUUAGUUUCCUUUUAUUCAAAUUGAUUAGAUGGUUAGAUUAGCGUGAUUUGAGGGCCUGCGGAGGUGGGAUGGAGAGUUUCAUGUUUUCAUCUGGUGGAGUAUGGUCAGUCCAUGUAAACUGCUAAGCGCACACCAGAUCUCGAAUAAAUUAAUAAUGGCUGUUAGAUUGGGUCGUGUGGGCUUCAUCCUGUGGUGGUGAUGUGUCUGUGUACGUUUUGCGGGGUGUACGUAAGAAAGUUCUUGUUUGAUUGUUUAAUAGUAG
This is an RNA transcript of Triticum dicoccoides, 1480 nucleotides long. RefSeq lists it as uncharacterized. The transcript has 2 exons. The record is from RefSeq and is a predicted model, not a curated record. NCBI's taxonomy places the organism in Eukaryota, Viridiplantae, Streptophyta, Magnoliopsida, Poales, Poaceae.